This 357-nucleotide ribosomal RNA is filed under the name uncultured Eubacterium sp. RNAcentral's name for it is "bacterial SSU rRNA". It matches the Rfam family "Bacterial small subunit ribosomal RNA", at positions 21 to 358 of the family's 1533-position model. The record is from RNAcentral. Lineage: Bacteria; Bacillati; Bacillota; Clostridia; Eubacteriales; Eubacteriaceae.
GGCUCAGGACGAACGCUGGCGGCGUGCUUAACACAUGCAAGUCGAACGAAGCACUUUAUUUGAUUUCCUUCGGGACUGAUUAUUUUGUGACUGAGUGGCGGACGGGUGAGUAACGCGUGGGUAACCUGCCUUGUACAGGGGGAUAACAGUUGGAAACGGCUGCUAAUACCGCAUAAGCGCACGGCAUCGCAUGAUGCAGUGUGAAAAACUCCGGUGGUAUAAGAUGGACCCGCGUUGGAUUAGCUAGUUGGUGAGGUAACGGCCCACCAAGGCGACGAUCCAUAGCCGACCUGAGAGGGUGACCGGCCACAUUGGGACUGAGACACGGCCCAAACUCCUACGGGAGGCAGCAGUAGG